AUGGAUCUUAAAACCUCGAGAAAUAAGGCUUUCUUCCAUGCGGCCUCUGAGUUAUCUAAAGAACUUAUUAUGAAGCUAAAAAUCACUUCAAUAUCGAGUGUAAGUGAAGUAACGUAAUGCUGAAAAAUAAUAUUAAGAAUGCGCGAGAUACGCAGUGCAACUGGAAAAUCCGACAUAGAUGCGAGAGAGGCAGUAAUAAUAGGAAGAAGAUCUUUUCGAACAGAGUCUUGAAAUUCUGGAAUUUGAAAGAGACGAUGAUGAUUGACAAGAAUACUUUCAAGUAAUUCGAGUCCAAAAGUCGUAGAUAUGUGAUCUACAUUUAAAGAUUCGGAUUUCCCAGCGCUUAAUAACGAGCAUAACCCUUUAAAUAACGA
Molecule: non-coding RNA, 374 nt
Organism: Schizosaccharomyces pombe (fission yeast)
Lineage: Eukaryota; Fungi; Ascomycota; Schizosaccharomycetes; Schizosaccharomycetales; Schizosaccharomycetaceae
Source: the annotation of a GenBank genome assembly